This 1200-nucleotide long non-coding RNA is filed under the name Canis lupus familiaris (dog). Its description in RNAcentral is "lncRNA (ENSCAFG00030022104.1)". The record is from RNAcentral. Lineage: Eukaryota; Metazoa; Chordata; Mammalia; Carnivora; Canidae.
AUGCGAAGCAUCGGAAUGCAACCGUCGGAGAAGCAGCACCCAGAGGUGCAGACCCCAGGCACCUUGUCACACGAGGCUGGACAGGAGUGUGGGCUUCUGCUGGCCCCGGGGCAAGGUGGCAUCUGUCCAGGGAACGGAGUUAAACAGAGGCUCCGGCUGGAGAUAAAUGACCUACACGCCGGCCCGUUAAUCAUUCUCCACUUUGCAUGUGGCCUCCCUCAAUCCUCUCGGGUCCGAGUUCAGGUGCGGAGCGCGUGUGUGGGCAGAGGCCCCGAGGAAGGGCCGGCCCUCAGCGAGAGCCCCGUCCAGUCUGCUCCCCACCAGCCAGCUCUGGAGUGUGUGUGGGUGCGGGUGACAGACUUGGAACAUGUCCCGAGAUGCAUUCGAAGCUCCUUGACUCCUGAGUCGAGGCGUUCAGGUCGCGGCCCGUCUUUCCCGAGCUCCUGGGCCGCGCCGUCCGAAGUGAACAGGGCUCGGGCCAGACCCGCAGGCAUCGCUCGGCGGCCUGGAGGGAGGGAAGGGGACAGACAUGUGUGCGGCCACAGGGAAGGGCUCCCGGAGGAAGCGAUGCCUGGGCCGAAAGGCCAGGAGCAAGACAGCCUGGGAUGCGUCCGGGGGCAGGUCGGAGCCGACCCCCCAGGCCGGGGUGCCGAAGCUUGGCCACCGCCAUGGCGGGGGAGCUGGUGGGGGGCUGGCAGGGGGCGAUCGGAGACGGGGAGCCCGCCCCACGCCUCUCCCCGCCGGCCUCACCCCACAGGCCGCCUGCGCCUCGUCCAGUCCUGGAGGGUCCCCCGUCGGCCCGCUCCGAGGAACAUUCUCCUGCGGCCAGGACUGUCGACGGCUCCCGACAGAGGGCCCGGGGCCUCAGCUGGGCAGGGAGGGUGGACGGAAAUGAUCUCCCUGGGCCUGGGGCAGCCAGAGGCCAGACUCUGCGGUACCCCUCCCCACAACCGGGGCUGCCCGCCGCGGGCUCGGGGCCCGGGUCACAGGGCCGACUGGGUCCCCGCCAUCCAUUGCCAGAGGCCGGGCUGCUCCCGAAGGGCCCACGGCGGCCUGGUGACCUGUGCCUGCAACCGCUGGGGACACUUGCCGGGCGGCCGUCAGGAGGGCCGAACACUCACUUGGGCUGGAGCACAGGCCCACGGGAGUUCGAGGACACGCCGGGGCCCAGGCAGGAGAGGACGCGGCGCAGGGCCCUGA